UAAACGACUCUCGGCAACGGAUAUCUCGGCUCUCGCAUCGAUGAAGAACGUAGCGAAAUGCGAUACUUGGUGUGAAUUGCAGAAUCCCGUGAACCAUCGAGUCUUUGAACGCAAGUUGCGCCCGAGGCCUCUUGGUCGAGGGCACGUCUGCCUGGGUGUCACGC
This 164-nucleotide ribosomal RNA is filed under the name Populus pseudosimonii. Its description in RNAcentral is "5.8S ribosomal RNA". It matches the Rfam family "5.8S ribosomal RNA". Rfam says of the family: 5.8S ribosomal RNA (5.8S rRNA) is a component of the large subunit of the eukaryotic ribosome. It is transcribed by RNA polymerase I as part of the 45S precursor that also contains 18S and 28S rRNA. Lineage: Eukaryota; Viridiplantae; Streptophyta; Magnoliopsida; Malpighiales; Salicaceae. The record is from RNAcentral.